This is a long non-coding RNA of Macaca fascicularis (crab-eating macaque), 1528 nucleotides long. NCBI's taxonomy places the organism in Eukaryota, Metazoa, Chordata, Mammalia, Primates, Cercopithecidae. The record is from Ensembl.
GGUGUCUGGCUGUAUCUCCAGACUCACACAGCAAUAAACUGUGAGUGCACAGCACGCCUUUCAAACCACCUUUCUACACCCCCCAUGAUACCACAACCCUUCCACGUUCCCCCCCUUCAUUGUUCCUUAAAGGAUUCUCCACAUUAGGUGUCGGGGGGGCCGGGUGUGCACGUGUCAGGGUGGAGGGGGUGGUAUCACGGACCAGGCUUGUCUUCCGAAUGAGCAUUUGUCCCUCUGCCGCAUACAGCAGAACAAAAGGAGAGAGGAAACACUGGCUUAAAAUGUUAUAUAUAAUUGGCAGAGCUUAAUUUUUAUGUGUUGACUACGUGGAGAGGUCAUAUUCAGCCUGUGUUGACGGCGAAUAUUUUAGAGAAUGUCAAAUUUACUGAAGACUUCCUUGUUGAAGAAAAAAGAAAGCCAUCAAAUUAAAUAGUGUUUAUAUAAAACAGAUAUUGCUUUAGAAAACAACAACUGCAGGUGGUGUUGAAGUUAUUAAUGUUGGUAAAAUAACAUGCGAGUGGAUGUUAUUAAUGCUGGUUUGAAGUUAUUAAUGCAUUUGGUUUGAAGUUAUUAAUGCUGGUUUGAAGUUAUUAAUGCAUUUGGUUUGAAGUUAUUAAUACUGGUGAAAUCACAUUUGUUGCAUAUCUGUCUAAUAUACAACAUCCCCAAACAGCACCCUGGUUUGGUUGUAAAAACCGGGUUCCGGACAUAUUUGAGGAAUUGCGUGUACCUCUUGCAACUACAUUUUUCCAAUUUGAACACUGUAUACACACACCACUUAUUUUCUGGUUAUCCAGUUUUGUUUUAACCAUACAUACAUUGACUUGGUUUAAAAAAGCAACAUUCAUUACUUGCAAGUACUUACUGUUGAGUAACUGCUGCAAAUUGGGAGCAAGAAUUAAACUUAGUAAAAUAGUCCCUCAUCGCCCCACCAGCCAUUGGACUGUCCCCAGGAGCUAAAGCUUUCCCACAGCUGCAGCUGCUCCCAGUGAACCUCUCUGCCCUGGGCCACAAACCCUGUGAGAGGCUGGCGUCUCCUAACUGCUCUUCCGGAGAACCGUGUCAUCCUGCGUAUGAAUGUAUGAAUGGCCUGAGCGACAGACGACCCUGGCUGCGGAGGCCGGCACUUGUUGCUAAACGGCAAGCGUGAUUCACCAAGCUGGAGAGCGUCCCACUGACUUGCUCUGUUUCAUGAGCAAAUUAAAGGCCACAACAGACCAUUUUAACACUAAACCUCUGUGUGGAGAGGCACCGAGCUCUGGGAAAAUUAUGAAUGAAAUAGUCGAUACCCACCUAAAUAUGGACAAACCAAUAACAGCUUCCUAUUGGCCACGCUCAGUCCUGUACAGAGUAUAACAUUUUAAUGUAAGAUAUUUUGGUCAUUUAUAGGAACUUUUAAAGCUAGCAAUCACCUAGACGCCUAAGCUAGUACAUGCUUUUACUGACAUUCUAUUACAUCAGAAAGAGGCUAGACAAUACCAUUUAAAGAGGUGCAUAUUUUUGCACGAGGUAAAGCAAAAAAAAAAAA